RNAcentral lists this ribosomal RNA (806 nucleotides) under uncultured bacterium. RNAcentral's name for it is "bacterial SSU rRNA". It matches the Rfam family "Bacterial small subunit ribosomal RNA", at positions 100 to 927 of the family's 1533-position model. The record is from RNAcentral.
GACGGGUGAGUUACGCGUGGGUAACCUGCCGUAUGCAGGGGGAUAACAGUUAGAAAUGACUGCUAAUACCGCAUAAGCGCACAGUAUCGCAUGAUACAGUGUGAAAAACGAUAGUGGCAUACGAUGGACCCGCGUCUGAUUAGCUAGUUGGCGGGGUAACGGCCCACCAAGGCGACGAUCAGUAGCCGGCCUGAGAGGGUGAACGGCCACAUUGGAACUGAGACACGGUCCAAACUCCUACGGGAGGCAGCAGUGGGGGAUAUUGCACAAUGGGGGAAACCCUGAUGCAGCGACGCCGCGUGAGUGAAGAAGUAUUUCGGUAUGUAAAGCUCUAUCAGCAGGAAAGAUAAUGACGGUACCUGACUAAGAAGCACCGGCUAAAUACGUGCCAGCAGCCGCGGUAAUACGUAUGGUGCAAGCGUUAUCCGGAUUUACUGGGUGUAAAGGGAGCGCAGACGGCAUGGCAAGCCAGAUGUGAAAGGUGGGGGCUCAACCCCCAAGCUGCAUUUGGAACUGUCAAGCUAGAGUAUCGGAGAGGUAAGUGGAAUUCCUAGUGUAGCGGUGAAAUGCGUAGAUAUUAGGAGGAACACCAGUGGCGAAGGCGGCUUACUGGACGAUAACUGACGUUGAGGCUCGAAAGCGUGGGGAGCAAACAGGAUUAGAUACCCCGGUAGUCCACGCCGUAACGAUGAAUACUAGGUGUUGGGAGGCAAAAGCCUUUCGGUGCCGCAGCUAACGCAAUAAGUAUUCCACCUGGGGAGUACGUUCGCAAGAAUGAAACUCAAAGGAUUGACGGGACCCGCACA